UACGUAGGGGCCUAGCGUUGUCCGGAAUUAUUGGGCGUAAAGCGUCCGCAGGUGGCGAUUCAAGUCUGCGGUCAAAGACUGGGGCUUAACCCUGGAAAGGCCGUGGAAACUGAAUAGCUAGAGUGCAGUAGGGGUAGAGGGAAUUCCCGGUGUAGCGGUGAAAUGCGUAGAGCUCGGGAAGAACAUCGGUGGCGAAAGCGCUCUGCUGGACUGCAACUGACACUCAGGGACGAAAGCUAGGGGAGCGAAUGGG
This 253-nucleotide ribosomal RNA is filed under the name uncultured bacterium. RNAcentral describes it as "partial 16S ribosomal RNA". It matches the Rfam family "Bacterial small subunit ribosomal RNA", at positions 524 to 776 of the family's 1533-position model. The record is from RNAcentral.